RNAcentral lists this ribosomal RNA (253 nucleotides) under uncultured bacterium. Its description in RNAcentral is "partial 16S ribosomal RNA". It matches the Rfam family "Bacterial small subunit ribosomal RNA", at positions 524 to 776 of the family's 1533-position model. The record is from RNAcentral.
UACAGAGGUCUCAAGCGUUGUUCGGAUUCAUUGGGCGUAAAGGGUGCGUAGGCGGCGCGGUAAGUCGGGUGUGAAAUCUCGGAGCUUAACUCCGAAACUGCAUUCGAUACUGCCGUGCUUGAGGACUGGAGAGGAGACUGGAAUUUACGGUGUAGCGGUGAAAUGCGUAGAUAUCGUAAGGAAGACCAGUGGCGAAGGCGGGUCUCUGGACAGUUCCUGACGCUGAGGAGCGAAAGUGUGGGGAGCGAACAGG